Nycticebus coucang (slow loris) is the source of this 896-nucleotide long non-coding RNA. RefSeq lists it as uncharacterized. Lineage: Eukaryota; Metazoa; Chordata; Mammalia; Primates; Lorisidae. The record is from RefSeq and is a predicted model, not a curated record. The transcript has 7 exons.
CGGGACUCUAGGCGACUGAGGGUAGCCUCCGCGCCGCGUGGACAGUGGCGGGUCCACAAAAAGCCUAGAACUUGUGGGAACCCAUGCAGACCUGUCUGUGGUCCAAAAAGCAGACAUAAGAGGAAGGAAUUGAAAGGCUCGUAACUCCUACUGAGUGGGAGUUGCUGCCAAGGAAUCUGGGACUACUGUAUCCUGGAGGGAUAUUCCCAGGACCAUGCUGUUACAUGGCCAUGGCUGAUGAAGACAAGCUUCUGGACUGGUGGAUUGCUUUGAAGGCUCCUAAAUAAGACUUGCUUAUUUGGGAUCCCCUGGAGCUCUCACCCUUUUUUUAUUUUAAAAUAAUCUCAAGUUUAUAAAAAGUUGCAAGUACACUACAAUACCUUACUUUAAAACAACGAUUUGAUUGGUUCUUCCUCUAAUAGGCAUUUGAACUUGGACUGGGCCAGACUACCAGCUUUCUUGCUUCUCCAUCAUGCUGACAGCUGACCGUGGGACUUCUCAAAAGGUUCUGGACCCAAGGAUAAAAUCAUUCCGAGAUGAAAGGAAGACGGAGAUCCAAUUUGUGCAAUUAAAGUGGCUUUUAUUCCACCUGGAGGGCAGGGUGAAGAUAUCUGGACCACGUUGACUUUUGGCACUACCUGAUUAAUUAUAAUACUUUGAUGACAUGUUGAUUCAGUUGGCUUUCCAAGAGAUGGCUAGUACAAUACAGGGGCUGGUUUUGAACCCACCAUCUCCGGUAUGUGGGGCCAGCACCCUACUCCUUGAGUCACAGGAGCUGCCCAACCAUUCGGUUUUUCAUUUUUUAGUACAAUAUUCAGUAAGUUACAUGAGAUAGGCAACACGUUAUUAUAAGAUACAUUUUGUGGUAGAUGAUGUUGCCCAAACAUAAGUGUUCU